UACAGAGGGUGCGAGCGUUAAUCGGAAUUACUGGGCGUAAAGCGCACGUAGGUGGCGACGUAAGUCGGGUGUGAAAGCCCCGGGCUCAACCUGGGAAUUGCAUUCGAGACUGCAUUGCUGGAGUACGGAAGAGGAAGGCGGAAUUCCCGGUGUAGCGGUGAAAUGCGUAGAUAUCGGGAGGAACAUCAGUGGCGAAGGCGGCCUUCUGGACGGAUACUGACGCUGAGACGCGAAAGCGUGGGUAGCAAACAGG
This 253-nucleotide ribosomal RNA is filed under the name uncultured bacterium. RNAcentral's name for it is "partial 16S ribosomal RNA". It matches the Rfam family "Bacterial small subunit ribosomal RNA", at positions 524 to 776 of the family's 1533-position model. The record is from RNAcentral.